GGGCUAGCGACAGGGCUUACACAUGCAAGUCGAGGGGCAGCAUAAAAGUAGCAAUACUUUGGUGGCGACCGGCGCACGGGUGAGUAACGCGUAUGCAACCUACCUAUCAGAGGGGAAUAACCCGGCGAAAGUCGGACUAAUACCGCAUAAAACAGGGGCACCGCAUGGUGAUAUUUGUUAAAGAAAUUCGCUGAUAGAUGGGCAUGCGUUCCAUUAGGUAGUUGGUGAGGUAACGGCUCACCAAGCCGACGAUGGAUAGGGGAACUGAGAGGUUGGUCCCCCACACUGGUACUGAGACACGGACCAGACUCCUACGGGAGGCAGCAGUGAGGAAUAUUGGUCAAUGGGCGGGAGCCUGAACCAGCCAAGUCGCGUGAAGGAAGAAGGAUCUAUGGUUCGUAAACUUCUUUUGCAGGGGAAUAAAGUGCGGGACGUGUCCUGUUUUGUAUGUACCCUGAGAAUAAGGAUCGGCUAACUCCGUGCCAGCAGCCGCGGUAAUACGGAGGAUCCGAGCGUUAUCCGGAUUUAUUGGGUUUAAAGGGUGCGUAGGUGGUUUGAUAAGUCAGCGGUGAAAGUUUGCAGCUUAACUGUAAAAAUGCCGUUGAAACUGUCGGACUUGAGUGUAAAUGAGGUAGGCGGAAUGCGUGGUGUAGCGGUGAAAUGCAUAGAUAUCACGCAGAACUCCGAUUGCGAAGGCAGCUUACUAAGCUACAACUGACACUGAAGCACGAAAGCGUGGGGAUCAAACAGGAUUAGAUACCCUGGUAGUCCACGCAGUAAACGAUGAUUACUAGCUGUUUGCGAUACACAGUAAGCGGCACAGCGAAAGCGUUAAGUAAUCCACCUGGGGAGUACGCCGGCAACGGUGAAACUCAAAUGAAUUGACGGAAGGGCGA
RNAcentral lists this ribosomal RNA (896 nucleotides) under uncultured Aquimonas sp. RNAcentral's name for it is "bacterial SSU rRNA". It matches the Rfam family "Bacterial small subunit ribosomal RNA", at positions 33 to 924 of the family's 1533-position model. Lineage: Bacteria; Pseudomonadati; Pseudomonadota; Gammaproteobacteria; Lysobacterales; Lysobacteraceae. The record is from RNAcentral.